UGAGUCGGCCAGGCGGCCGCGUGGGCGUCGCCCACGAGGAACGUCCGGGCUCCACAGGGAACGGUGGUGGGUAACGCCCACCCGGGGUGACCCGCGGGAAAGCGCCACAGAGAACAGACCGCCGCGCGAGCGGCAAGGGUGAAACGGCGGUGUAAGAGACCACCGCGUUCCGGGCGACCGGGACGGCAGGGCAAGCCCCACCGGGAGCAAGGCCAGACAGCGCGCGGUGAGGCGUCCCGUCUAGCGCGCGGGUGGGCCGCUCGAGCCUCUCGGCAACGCGAGGCCUAGAUGGAUGGUCGCCGCCGCCUUCGAGCCGCGUGCCGGAGGCGGAACAGAACCCGGCGUACCGGCCGGCUCAUCCG
Actinobaculum sp. oral taxon 183 is the source of this 362-nucleotide non-coding RNA. It matches the Rfam family "Bacterial RNase P class A". Rfam says of the family: Ribonuclease P (RNase P) is a ubiquitous endoribonuclease, found in archaea, bacteria and eukarya as well as chloroplasts and mitochondria. Its best characterised activity is the generation of mature 5'-ends of tRNAs by cleaving the 5'-leader elements of precursor-tRNAs. NCBI's taxonomy places the organism in Bacteria, Bacillati, Actinomycetota, Actinomycetes, Actinomycetales, Actinomycetaceae. The record is from Rfam.